RNAcentral lists this ribosomal RNA (359 nucleotides) under Bacillus mycoides. RNAcentral describes it as "bacterial SSU rRNA". It matches the Rfam family "Bacterial small subunit ribosomal RNA", at positions 347 to 697 of the family's 1533-position model. Lineage: Bacteria; Bacillati; Bacillota; Bacilli; Caryophanales; Bacillaceae. The record is from RNAcentral.
AGCAGCAGUAGGGAAUCUUCCGCAAUGGACGAAAGUCUGACGGAGCAACGCCGCGUGAGAAAGAUUAGCUAAUACCGCAUACGAUCUACUUGUUAGGGAAGAACAAGUGCUAGUUGAAUGGAUGGCACUCUUGACGGUACCUAACCAGAAAGCCACGGCUAACUACGUGCCAGCAGCCGCGGUAAUACGUAGGUGGCAAGCGUUAUCCGGAAUUAUUGGGCGUAAAGCGCGCGCAGGUGGUUUCUUAAGUCUGAUGUGAAAGCCCACGGCUCAACCGUGGAGGGUCAUUGGAAACUGGGAGACUUGAGUGCAGAAGAGGAAAGUGGAAUUCCAUGUGUAGCGGUGAAAUGCGUAGAGAU